AUGACCUCCGUCAACAACCAGCGGUCAUCCAUCGGAAACAGCAUUACUCCCUCUGCCUCUCAUCCAAACGCAACUUCAUCUCUCUCAUUCGCCAUUCCUCUCUCGACUCUUCUAUCCACCAUGGCCGCUGUGCUCUGUUCCCUCCACGCAACCCACAGCUUCUGCACCGUCCGAUUUGUCAACACAACUCAACUUGGUCUUGUUUAUUAA
Molecule: non-coding RNA, 210 nt
Organism: Vicia faba (fava bean)
Lineage: Eukaryota; Viridiplantae; Streptophyta; Magnoliopsida; Fabales; Fabaceae
Source: the annotation of a GenBank genome assembly